This 4272-nucleotide long non-coding RNA is filed under the name Populus trichocarpa (black cottonwood). Lineage: Eukaryota; Viridiplantae; Streptophyta; Magnoliopsida; Malpighiales; Salicaceae. The record is from RNAcentral.
UCAGACUUCCCCUACAGUUGCUUAAGCAAACCAAGGAUAUCUAGCCACAUAUAUAGUUAAUGAUAAUCAGUAAAAUAUACCCACAACUUGUAUUUUCAAUCACAAUUAUUAAAUUCGGGUUGAUAGAUAAGUUUAUUUAUCUAGGACAUGGCUAACCUACCUCUUAAAUCAGGUUAAAUAUAUAAAAAAAAAAAUUUAAAAUUUAGUCAGAUGACAUGAUUGAUAUCGUUUUAAUUAAUUGGGUUAAAAAUGGUAUCCCAUGUCUUGCUAUACUUUCAAAACAUUUAGAACAAUUAGAUCACUCUAAGUUGAUGAUUUCAAAAAGUUAACAUUUUAUGAUCCAAACAUUCACACAAGAGAAUCAUUACACCAGUCUUAGAAAUUGAUGCUUUCAAGAGCUGACACCAUCAGAAGAUGUAGAAGAAGGGUGGUCCUAAUCUGUUGUCUAGCUCUGAAUCUGUCACGUACGCAUCUAGACGAUGUUUCUUCCAUAUAAACCUUUUAUCGAAGCCAUUACAACUUCUUCUUUUUUUUACUUUUUUUCUUACAUAUUACUAAGAUUAAUAUUUUCUACGUAGUUAAUGGUUUUGCAAACCUGAUUCCAGUUCCACUCCUCCCUCAAAGGGCACUUCUGUUCGUGUGAGCGUAAAGUGGGUGACUCCAGUUCCAGUUCCACUCUCUUUUUUCACGAGGACACUAGUUCACCAUGAGUAAUGUUGCUAGAGUUCUCAAGUAGCACUUAAUUUCCUGAUUACUCAUGAGGUAUCAAGUACCAUUUCCAUGGCUAUAAGCAUGGUGAUUAACCGCAUGAGUUCGAAAAGCUUUCUUCUUCACGAUGAUUAAAAAUAUCAACAGAAAUUAAAUCAUAUUCUUGGAGCACAAGAUCGAUCUCUUGCAUAUUAGCUUGCUUCAAGGUUUAAACUCAAGAAAUUAAGAGAGGGCAUACCUAGUCUACAACAUGGGAUUACAUGGUAGAAAUGUUGGCACCUUGUUAAUUACCUAAGGAUCCAAGAAAUAUAAGGUUGAAUCAAAGGAAUAUAUAGGUGAUGAUUCAUGGCCUUAAAUCUCUUAAAAUGAAACAAUAAAGAGCAUGUACUGCUGGAUCUAGAAAAUUCCAUAGUACAUUCUAGAAAUUAAUCAAUCUGCAAUAAUUUGUAUUUAGCUGGACAAAAACUAACCCAAAAGAUAAUGGACAUUGAAAAAUAAUGCUAGCUAGCUAGGAAGGACCCAAAACAGGGUGAAGUUUUGCACUAGUAGAGCUAGAAAGUUGGGAAAAAAUGUAACAGUGAUCACUAUUGACAAAUGACAAUCUGCCGACAGAAACCAAAUAAUGCAACUCACUUUAGAAGCCUCGUUGGCGUCUAGCAAAAAAGCUUAUUAUUUCGAAAUCAGCAAUUAUCUUUUUCCCACAAUUUCAAGUUCAGCUAUUUCUUUCUCUCUUUUUUUUUGGAUAAUAAAAUAUGCUAUUUCUUUCUCUUUUCUUUAAGACUACAAAAAGAUCUGCAAAAACUGCUUUAAAAAGGAGUUCACACAAAGAAGUCAAAGCAAUUCCAUCACCAACGUCUAGCUAGAUACAGAUAACUACAAUAUAUAUUUGGUACAUGUGUACAUAUAUCCAUGCCCUAGAAUCAUGAAAUCAUAUAAGGUUAAUUAAUAUAAAAAGGCCCCUUCUAUAAAUAACUUAUACAACCCUUUUCCUUCUUUUGGCGCAAUACAUGUAUCUAUAUAGCACAAGGCAUGCUGAGAAUUAUGAAGUUAGAAACGAAAUUGUUUCAUGUUCUGAAAAUGAUUCUAAAUAUUUUCACAAGAAUAUUGAUCCGGCUUAAUUUGUAAGCACAGCAACCUCAUUAGUUAAAUUGUAUCAAAUUGAAUGCAUGCAGUCACAACAAUACCAGUUCUAUAUUUUUGAAGCAAUAUAGAGAAUCAAGAAAUGUUAAGUAAAUAUUUAUUUUUUGUUCUUGUUUUCAUAUUUACAUGAAAUUUUGCUCCCAACAUUUCCAAUUUCUACAAUAAGAUUAGUCUGUUAGUUAAUUAAUAGAUUACUGAAAAGAAGGAAGGAUGGAUACUAUAGCUAAUCUAGAAAUUUAAUUUAAUGGGGGCCAGGGGUUGGGGGGGGGCACUUAUGAGUCUAUAUAUUCUUCAAUUAAGUAAUUGAAGCCAGUAAGCGACAUCAAGGACUACUAAUAGAUGCUAAACAAAGAAGAAUCGUUGUUAUAUUCUAAGCUUAAUAAAAUAUUAAACCACAAAUCCCUUAAAACAUGUCUUGAUAUCCCAUCAUGUCAAUGUCAAACAUCUCUCCUAUGAUUUGAUAGUACAUACAAGUAUGAAUGUAAUAUUAUUCAAGCUCGUAUAUACCAUCGAGGUUCUUGGCAAGUGACUUCAAUGUUGAGAGAAUUGUCUACAUGUAUCCUUUUUGGUAAGUUAACUAUCUGUCUACGUUAAGAACUUGAACAUACAAAUAGAAGUAAUUAACUUCGUAUAUUUUGUGGGGAGGAGUGGAUCUACCCCAAGCCCUUAUCAUUGUAUCUAAUUGGAGGGGUGAAAUGGGUGCUCAAUUUGCUUUGUAUCUUGGAUAAAGUAUUGAGAUAGUGAAUAAAAUCUCAUUCCUCUCUUAUAUAUUCACAUUUUUCAAUCUUCUAGUUUGUAAUAACUUGGAUAUUGGACCUAAUCCCUUGUGCCUAUCUUCCAUCUUACUAAAUAUACUGUAAAACAAAUUAAACAAGUUAAAUUCGGGAAGAACCCUAACUUGUUAAUCUAUUGAGAUUAAGGAGAGCAAUGGAGUUACAUACCUUUGUCUAGCUCCUGGUACAGCUUCUUCUUGGAAACGCUGAAUGCUGAAGAGCAAGGGAAAGACGGACAAUAUCUGCCACGGUAUAUGAGCAAAGAGUUUGUACGUAUUUAUAGGAAAAUGUAAUAAUGCAGGUAUGAACGUGAACCAAAUAAGGUAGCAAAAGAGAGUAGCAUCAAUGUGUGAGGAGGAUAAGAUCACUAGACAUGCCAAAGAAAGAAAUUGAGAAAAACAUGACAGAAGAGACCUUGAGGUGAAAGCUGGGAAAGCAAAUAACCCUGAGAAAGUGAUAUUGGCGCGGCUCAAUCUGAGAUCGUAUUUUACAAUUACUUUCACGUGUAAAUCCGUCUUCGGAUUGAACCUCACCAACAUCGCUUUCUUUUGCCUCCUUAGCAUCCAGCACAGAUUACCGUGUCUCUUCUUAUCAGAAAAAGGCAAAAUGAUCAUGCAAGUAGAAACAUACCACGAUAAGUUUAUAAUGUGAACAGGUUUUAGCUUUUAAAACUUGCUAGCUGCUGCAGGCUUGGUGCCACUUACCAACCAAAAGGGAAAAAAGUGUGUACUUGAAUAAAGAAACACUAGAUAUGGUCACAUACGACUUGUCAAAGGACAAUAAUAUGAUCAUUUACGGUAUCUAUAUAUCUCUUGGUAGGGAAAAGGAUGGUGGCUCGGUGGAGUAAGAGGUGGAGGUGGUGGUCUUGUUGGUGGUUAUAGUCAUGAAGUGGGAUCUUGAAAUCAUGAUCAUUUAUAUAUAUUCCUUGAACUCAGUCAAUUGAAAUCAAGAUUUAUUCUCAAAGCAAAAAAGAAAAAAAAAUCUAGACUUUUAAAAGGCAAAAAUAAUUAAUAUAUUCCAUAAUACUUAUCAAACACGCGCGAGUAUAAAAAAUAUAUCGAUUAAAGAAAACCCCCUAUUAUUCAAUUAUAAUUUAGCUGGGAUUUAGAAACGAUAUUCUUACACCACAUGAAAACAUAAAACAAUAAAUAAAAAUAAAAAUAGAAAUAAAAAUAGAAAUCAUUGUUGCACCAAGAAAAGAAAAUUAAAGAGCUGGACAAAUGUUAAUAGAGGAGUGGCAGUGCUAAUUUGAUUAACAUCAAGAAACAAAAGCUGGCCAUUAGGAAUGGAUCAAUCAAGAUAUUUAUGGAAUGUUGAAGCAAUCAGCUCAACUAGGGUUCAAAGAUAAAUUGAAGAAGAUGGGAAUGAACUCAUGAUCUUUCUUGAUGAUAUAUAGAUAGUAAUAACUUGUCUAAGGUUGAUCAUGGUCAUAUAUAAGGGACUUGGAGUCAGGGAGAGACAGAGAAAGAGAGAGAAAGGGAGGAAUGGAAUGAGGAGGCAAGGGGUUGGAGAGGUAGAGAAUGUAUACUGGCAGGGUUUGCCUCGGGAUGAGAAGGUGAAGAAGGUGAGUGGAAUGAUGUCAAGGGUAGCAGCUUACUUUUAGGGUUUGUCAUGCUUAAUUUGUACUCAAUAAAAUCAAACGCAUGCCACC